Molecule: non-coding RNA, 74 nt
Organism: Rhinolophus ferrumequinum (greater horseshoe bat)
Lineage: Eukaryota; Metazoa; Chordata; Mammalia; Chiroptera; Rhinolophidae
Source: the annotation of a RefSeq genome assembly
GGCCAGUUAGUUCAGUUUGUUAGAGUGUGGUGCUACUAACACCAAGGUUGCAGGUUCGAUCCCCGCACGGGCCA